Molecule: ribosomal RNA, 559 nt
Filed under: uncultured bacterium
Lineage: Bacteria
Description: bacterial SSU rRNA
Rfam family: Bacterial small subunit ribosomal RNA
Source: RNAcentral
AAAAUAGAUACCCCAGGUAGUCCACGCCGUAAACCGAUGAGUGCUAAGUGGUUGGGGGGUUUCCGCCCCCUCGAGUGGCUGCAGCUAACGCAUUAAGCACUCCGCCUGGGGAGUACGGUCGCAAGACUGAAACUCAAAGGAAUUGACGGGGGCCCGCACAAGCGGUGGAGCAUGUGGUUUAAUUCGAAGCAACGCGAAGAACCUUACCAGGUCUUGACAUCCCGGUGACCACUAUGGAGACAUAGUUUCCCCGUUCGGGGGCAACGGUGACGAGGUGGUGCAUGGUUGUCGUCAGCUCGUGUCGUGAGAUGUUGGGUUAAGUCCCGCAACGAGCGCAACCCUUAUUCUUAGUUGCCAUCAUUCAGUUGGGCACUCUAAGGAGACUGCCGGUGAUAAACCGGAGGAAGGUGGGGAUGACGUCAAAUCAUCAUGCCCCUUAUGACCUGGGCUACACACGUGCUACAAUGGACGGUACAAACGGUUGCCAACCCGCGAGGGGAGCUAACUCCGAUAAAACCGUUCUCAGUUCGUAUUGUAGGCUGCUAACUCGCCUACAGUA